Long non-coding RNA from Astatotilapia calliptera (eastern happy), 1621 nucleotides. NCBI's taxonomy places the organism in Eukaryota, Metazoa, Chordata, Actinopteri, Cichliformes, Cichlidae. The record is from Ensembl.
AUAGCAAUGGAUUUUAUGAAUUUUUUUUCCAGUUUUUUUCACACCAGAUCUUUUAAACAACUUCAGACCUAUCCACUGAUAUAAAGUUUUUCAUAAUUUUUUUCAUAUUUUUUAGGUUUUUAUGGCUUUAUUGUCAUAAAAACCCCUGUUUUUUUGGGGGUAAAAAACCAUAAUAUGCAAUAUUUUUAAAAAAUGAGUUGCAAAUGGAACUACUUGGCAUGAGGUUAUUAGAGCCUUGGAUAGGUAAAGAAUUCAUAACAGAAUUGAUUUGGCUGCAUUAUUAUUUUUGGAGCAAUAAGAGUUUUUACAGUAUACAUCCAUUGGUAUCCCUUGGGACCCAAAGGGGUCCCCAUCCAAAAGGUGAUAUAGCAAUGGAUUUUAUGAAUUUUUUUUCCAGUUUUUUUCACACCAGAUCUUUUAAACAACUUCAGACCUAUCCACUGAUAUAAAGUUUUUCAUAAUUUUCUCAAUAUUUUUUAUGUUUUUAUGGCUUUAUUGUCAUAAAGACCCCUGUUUAUUUUCUUUGGGGGGUAAAAAACCAUAAUAUGCAAUAUUUUCAAAAAAUGAGUUGCAAAUGGAACUACUUGGCAUGAGGUUAUUAGAGCCUUGGAUAGGUAAAGAAUUCAGAAUAGAAUUGAUUUGGAUGCAUUAUUAUUUUUGGAGCAAUAAGAGUUUUUCAAAUUUACACCCUUUUAUGGUCCUCGGGACCCAAAAUGGUCCCCAUCCAAAAGGUGAUAUAGCAAUGGAUUUUAUGAAUUUUUUUUCCAGUUUUUUUCACACCAGAUCUUUUAAACAACUUCAGACCUAUCCACUGAUAUAAAGUUUUUCAUAAUUUUUUUCAUAUUUUUUAGGUUUUUAUGGCUUUAUUGUCAUAAAGACCCCUGUUUAUUUUUUAUUUUGGGGGGUAAAAAACCAUAAUAUGCAAUAUUUUCAAAAAAUGAGUUGCAAAUGGAACUACUUGGCAUGAGGUUAUUAGAGCCUUGGAUAGGUAAAGAAUUCAGAAUAGAAUUGAUUUGGAUGCAUUAUUAUUUUUGGAGCAAUAAGAGUUUUUGCAAUAUACUUCCAUUGGUAUCCCUCGGGACCCAAAAUGGUCCCCAUCCAAAAGGUGAUAUAGCAAUGAAUUUUAUGAAUUGUUUUUUCAUUUUUUUUCACAUCAGAUCUUUUAAACAACUUCAGACCUAUCCACAGAUAUAAAGUUUUUCAUAAAUUUGUAAAUAUUUUUUAUGUUUUUAUAGCUUUAUUGUCAUAAAGACCCCUGUUUAUUUUUUAUUUAUUUAUUUUGGGGGUGGGGGGUGGGGGGGGAAACCCGUAAUAUAUAUUAUAAAUAUAUUCUCAAUCACAUUCACACCACUCUCUUAUAUCAGUUCCACUACAUCGAGACUAUUUUAUGGUGGUCAGCUGUUUUAUUGUCAUGUAUUUUGCAUAAUAAGAUAACCAUGUCCUGCAUUCAAAACCACUGAAAAUGUCUAUGGUGGUGCUGUACCUAAUAUUGUGCUCAUUGGAUCCGAAACAUAUUUUUCCUUUAUUUUGAAGCCUGAGGCUUAGAUCCAUUAGGUAUUCACGAGAAAAAAAUUAUCACAUGUCAGGAUUACAGUAUAUCGAAAAUAUGUGAUUAUAAUGG